Non-coding RNA from Ceratotherium simum simum (southern white rhinoceros), 1317 nucleotides. NCBI's taxonomy places the organism in Eukaryota, Metazoa, Chordata, Mammalia, Perissodactyla, Rhinocerotidae. The record is from RefSeq and is a predicted model, not a curated record.
UGGGGGCUGUUCAUGGCGGUUCCGGGGUCUCCAACAUUCUUCGCGGCUGUGGUCCUAAAUCCGUACGAAGCGGAGGCGGUGGAGCUUGAGGAUCUUGCUGGUGUGAAAUGACUGAGUACAAACUGGUGGUGGUUGGAGGAGGUGGUGUUGGGAAAAGCGCACUGACAAUCCAGCUAAUCCAGAACCACGUUGUUGAUGAAUAUGAUCCCACCACAGGGGAUUCUUACCGAAAACAGGUGGUUAUAGAUGGUGAAACCUGUCUGUUGGACAUACUGGAUACAGCUGGACAAGAGGAGUACAGUGCCAUGAGAGACCAAUACAUGAGGACAGGAGAAGGCUUCCUCUGUGUAUUUGCCGUCAAUAAUAGCAAGUCCUUUGCAGACAUUAACCUCUACAGGGAACAGAUUAAGCGAGUAAAAGACUCAGAUGAUGUACCUAUGGUGCCAGUAGGAAACAAGUGUGAUUUGCCAACAAGGACAGUUGACACAAAACAAGCCCAUGAACUGGCCAAGGGUUAUGGGAUUCCAUUCACUGAAACCUCAGCCAAGACCAGACAGGGUGUUGAAGAUGCCUUUUACACACUGGUAAGAGAAAUACGUCAGUACCGAAUGAAAAAACUCAACAGCAGUGAUGAUGGGACUCAGGGUUGCAUGGGGUUGCCAUGUGUGGUGAUGUAACAAGAUACUUAUAAAGUUCUAGCAUCAGAAAAGAGCCACGGUCAAGCCGCACUGACACCCUGGUCCUGACUUCCCUGGAGGAGAGAUAUUCCUGUUGCUGUCUUCAGUCUCACAAAGAAGCUCCUGCUACUUCCCCAACUCUCAGUAGAUCAGUACAAUAUUCUCUAUUUGAGAAGUUCUCAGAAUAACUACCUCCUCGCUUGGUUGUCUGACCAGAGAAAUGAACCUCUUGUUACUCCCCGGUAUUUUUCCACCCUGGGUUCUCCCCUAACACACACAGACACAACUCCGCCACCCCACGUUUUUCACCUGAGAAACAAUUUAUGCUCUGAAACAGAGAACCAAACUAUAGACAUCAAAUUCUUUACAAAACAGUGUCUUGAGCUCUAAAGUAGCAACUGCUGGUGAUAUUUUUUCUUUUUACUGUUGAACUUGGAACUAUGUUGGUUUUUGGAGAAAUGUCAUUAAUUACUGUUUUGCUGAGAAUAUAGUUAAUGUUGCUGUUCGGUUUGUUUGUAAUGUUAUUGGCUAUAUUCUACAAAAUGGCAUCUACUCUGUGUUCAUAAAUACAAAAGUGAAUACUGACUUUUGAGUCUAUCCCAGUCUUCUCAACUUUCAUGUAAUUAAAUCUAACUUUCAC